UCGCUACUACCGAUUGAAUGGUUUAGUGAGGCCUCGGGACUGAUGCUCAUGAGGUGGCAACACCACAUCUGCACCGGGAACUUGGACAAACUUGAUCAUUUAGAGGAAGUAA
Molecule: ribosomal RNA, 112 nt
Filed under: uncultured eukaryote
Lineage: Eukaryota
Description: partial small subunit ribosomal RNA
Rfam family: Eukaryotic small subunit ribosomal RNA
Source: RNAcentral